UACGGGGGGGGCAAGCGUUGUUCGGAAUUACUGGGCGUAAAGGGGACGUAGGCGGCCAACUAAGUCCGACGUGAAAUCCCAAGGCUUAACCUUGGAACUGCGUCGGAUACUGGAUGGCUUGAAUUCGGGAGAGGGAUGCAGAAUUCCAGGUGUAGCGGUGAAAUGCGUAGAUAUCUGGAGGAACACCGGUGGCGAAGGCGGCAUCCUGGACCAACACUGACGCUGAGUGAGCGAAAGCCAGGGGAGCAAACGGG
RNAcentral lists this ribosomal RNA (254 nucleotides) under uncultured bacterium. Its description in RNAcentral is "partial 16S ribosomal RNA". It matches the Rfam family "Bacterial small subunit ribosomal RNA", at positions 524 to 776 of the family's 1533-position model. The record is from RNAcentral.